CCGUGCAGCCGGGGUGGUAGCGGUACCUUGAACCUGCAAUCCGCUAUAGCAGGGGUGAUAUUGCGCAGAGGGCGACAGUCUGCAGGGCUGCCCCCGGAAAGUGACGUUGACGUCUGGGUCUCACGCGACGGGACUCUGUGAACCGUGUCAGGUCGGGAACGGAGCAGCACUAAGCAGAACCUCUCGGGUGCCGUGAGGGUGCCUGGGCUGAGUUAACUACCGGGGUAACGCUUGUGGGCCAAGUUCGAAGCGCAAUGCACGU
Molecule: signal recognition particle RNA, 262 nt
Filed under: Mediterraneibacter torques
Lineage: Bacteria; Bacillati; Bacillota; Clostridia; Lachnospirales; Lachnospiraceae
Also listed under: 37 other names
Description: Ruminococcus torques Bacterial large signal recognition particle RNA
Rfam family: Bacterial large signal recognition particle RNA
About the family: The signal recognition particle (SRP) is a universally conserved ribonucleoprotein involved in the co-translational targeting of proteins to membranes.
Source: Rfam by way of RNAcentral